RNAcentral lists this microRNA precursor (88 nucleotides) under Canis lupus familiaris (dog). RNAcentral describes it as "mir-8799 microRNA precursor family". It matches the Rfam family "mir-8799 microRNA precursor family". The record is from Rfam by way of RNAcentral. Lineage: Eukaryota; Metazoa; Chordata; Mammalia; Carnivora; Canidae. RNAcentral also lists the same sequence under 2 other names.
CGGGGGAGGCCGGAUCCUGGGCUGUGUCCCGGCGCCCUGUGCUCCCGGCCUGCGCUGUUGGAUUCGCGCUCCCGCCCCGCAGCCCCCU